This 21-nucleotide microRNA is filed under the name Gossypium hirsutum (cotton). RNAcentral describes it as "ghr-miR7512". Lineage: Eukaryota; Viridiplantae; Streptophyta; Magnoliopsida; Malvales; Malvaceae. The record is from miRBase by way of RNAcentral.
UGCUACUUGUAGUUAUGCAUG